RNAcentral lists this ribosomal RNA (467 nucleotides) under uncultured bacterium. RNAcentral describes it as "partial 16S ribosomal RNA". It matches the Rfam family "Bacterial small subunit ribosomal RNA", at positions 28 to 507 of the family's 1533-position model. The record is from RNAcentral.
GACGAACGCUGGCGGCGUGCUUAACACAUGCAAGUCGAACGGAAAGGCCUCGUUCUUGGGGUACUCUAGUGUCGAGCGGGUGUGUGACACACGAGUGGCCUACCCUUGUCUUUGUGAUAACUUCAUGAGACUGUCGGUAGUACCUCAGAUGAGAUCUUGCUGCACGGCUGUGGUUGUAAAGAUUCGCGGUUUUGGUGUGAACUCGCGGCGUAUCCGCUUGUUGUUGGGGUAGUGUCUUACCCAUGGGUUGACGGGUAGACGGCCUGAGAGGGUGAACGGCCAUACUGGGACCGAGAUACGGCACAGACUCCUAAGGGAGGGAGCAGUGGGGAAUAUUGCACAAUGGGUGGAAGCCUGAUGCAGCAAGUCCGCGGGCGGGAUGACGGCCUUAGGGGUGUAAAACGCUUUUGCACAUGACGAAGCAUUGUGUGACGGUAGUGGGUAAAGAAGCACCGGCUAACUACGUG